CCCUAUUACAGCCAGCAGUCUGACAGAGAAUCAGUGACAGCCCCUAUUACAGCCAGCAGUCUGACAGAGAAUCAGUGACAGCCCCUAUUACAGCCAGCAGUCUGACAGAGAAUCAGUGACAGCCCCUAUUACAGCCAGCAGUCUGACAGAGAAUCAGCGACAGACCCUGUUACAGCCAGCAGUCUGACAGAGAAUCAGCGACAGCCCCUGUUACAGCCAGCAGUCUGACAGAGAAUCAGCGACAGCCCCUGUUACAGCCAGCAGUCUGACAGAGAAUCAG
Molecule: non-coding RNA, 280 nt
Organism: Pelobates cultripes (western spadefoot toad)
Lineage: Eukaryota; Metazoa; Chordata; Amphibia; Anura; Pelobatidae
Source: the annotation of a GenBank genome assembly